Dermacentor albipictus is the source of this 582-nucleotide long non-coding RNA. RefSeq lists it as uncharacterized. NCBI's taxonomy places the organism in Eukaryota, Metazoa, Arthropoda, Arachnida, Ixodida, Ixodidae. The record is from RefSeq and is a predicted model, not a curated record.
UGGAACACGCUGGCACGCUCGACCUGAGUGGCCACGGUAUCUGCAGCUCCCACGAUACUGCGGCACCAUGGCUGUCUGGCCUAAAUAGACGAUGGUCGCGACGGCUACCACUUGCCGUCGUCUCCUACAAGAUCAUGCUCCCGGGCAAGCGAGUGGCGGGGAGGACCUGGAGGAAGUUGGGAGGCAGUCGUUCCCUGGUCGUCGCUCAUCUCGCUGGGCGCCCGGUGUUGACUAUCCCACCAUGGAAGGUGUGGCGGACGAGAAUCCACAGCGGUUUCUUUCCCGCGGAGUACACACUGCAGCAGCAGUUCAUGGUGGACCAUGCGGAAGGAAAGAAGAGUUGAAAACUGCCGUGAGCAGUAACUGCGGUGAGGAGAACUGCAAAUACCUUCAACGCAAACCGAGGCGCUGCAAGAGGGAUUCUAGGAGUGGUUGUUUUUGCAGAAAAGGAUAUUACCGAGAGGGAUCAGGAAGCUCACCGUGUGUCAAUGUGACAAAGUGCCGUAGAUCGAAGACAACGGUAUGACGUUAUAUGCACAAGGCCGCAUUACUAAAUAAUAAAAUGCGUAUAGUUGAACCUUC